CACCUGCUCUCUAGCCAUCUCCUUGAUAACUUCAUAGCUAGGAAACAAGUAAAUUCUAGGAAAUAAGUAUCCUAGAAUUUGUUUAAUAUGGUCUGUAUUGGCAAGUUUAUACUUGUUGCAUUCUUCCUCCUCUGUCUUUCCCCACAACAGGGUCCUCCUUUCUUUACCAAAGCAGAGAAGAGAGGAUUCCAUGCUCACCCAAGAGCAUAAUACAUCCACGUUUCUGACUGAAGAAUGAAUUUGGACAAGAGUUUGACAUGAAUUGAUGAAAAGCCAUCACCCAUUAACUGUGGCUAAAUGCUGAAACGAAGCCCAGUACAGUGGAGGCAUUAAUUUAGUGGCAGGGCACAUGCAUCAUGUUCAAGAAAUCCUUGGUUCAGUCACUGGCAUCUCCAGGCAGGACUAUGGAAGACCCCGGCUUCAAACCCUGAAAGGACACUACCAGUGAAGGUAAACAACCCUGAGUUAGAUGUAACAAAGAAGAUCUGACUCGGUAUCAGGCAACUUCUUACAAUUCCAUAUGUCACACAACAUUCUGCCCUCCCAUGAGGUCUUGAGUCCGGCUCUAGCAAGUUUGCAUGACUGUCACUGCUAGGAAAGGUCACUGAAAUAUGAUGCCAUCAAUAUUUUCUCAUGUAUAUAUGCUAAU
Pogona vitticeps (central bearded dragon) is the source of this 649-nucleotide non-coding RNA. Lineage: Eukaryota; Metazoa; Chordata; Lepidosauria; Squamata; Agamidae. The record is from RefSeq and is a predicted model, not a curated record.